This 372-nucleotide ribosomal RNA is filed under the name uncultured organism. RNAcentral's name for it is "bacterial SSU rRNA". It matches the Rfam family "Bacterial small subunit ribosomal RNA", at positions 526 to 896 of the family's 1533-position model. The record is from RNAcentral.
CAGAGGGUGCAAACGUUGUUCGGAAUUACUGGGCGUAAAGCGCGUGUAGGCGGCUACGUAAGUCGGGCGUGAGAUCCCACGGCUCAACCGUGGAAGUGCACUCGAAACUGCAUAGCUAGAGUCCUGGAGAGGAAGGUGGAAUGCUUGGUGUAGAGGUGAAAUUCGUAGAUAUCAAGCGGAACACCGGUGGCGAAGGCGGCCUUCUGGACAGUGACUGACGCUGAGACGCGAAAGCGUGGGGAGCAAACAGGAUUAGAUACCCUGGUAGUCCACGCCGUAAACGAUGAGUGCUAGGUGUCACGGGCUUUGACCCUCGUGGUGCCGAAGCUAACGCGUUAAGCACUCCGCCUGGGGAGUACGGCCGCAAGGCUA